CGCAAGCCUGAUGCAGCCAUGCCGCGUGUAUGAAGAAGGACCUUCGGGUUGUAAAGUACUUUCAGCAGUGAGGAAGGUGGGGUAUGGUUAAUAGCAUACUCAUUUGACGUUAGCUGCAGAAGAAGCACCGGCUAACUCCGUGCCAGCAGCCGCGGUAAUACGGAGGGUGCGAGCGUUAAUCGGAAUUACUGGGCGUAAAGCGCAUGCAGGUGGUUUGUUAAGUCAGAUGUGAAAGCCCGGGGCUCAACCUCGGAAUUGCAUUUGAAACUGGCAAACUAGAGUACUGUAGAGGGGGGUAGGAAUUUCAGGUGUAGCGGUGAAAUGCGUAGAGAUCUGAAGGAAUACCGGUGGCGAAGGCGGCCCCCUGGACAGAUACUGACACUCAGAUGCGAAAGCGUGGGGAGCAAACAGGAUUAGAUACCCUGGUAG
RNAcentral lists this ribosomal RNA (429 nucleotides) under uncultured bacterium. Its description in RNAcentral is "bacterial SSU rRNA". It matches the Rfam family "Bacterial small subunit ribosomal RNA", at positions 376 to 793 of the family's 1533-position model. The record is from RNAcentral.